This 442-nucleotide ribosomal RNA is filed under the name uncultured bacterium. RNAcentral describes it as "partial 16S ribosomal RNA". It matches the Rfam family "Bacterial small subunit ribosomal RNA", at positions 338 to 795 of the family's 1533-position model. The record is from RNAcentral.
CCUACGGGAGGCAGCAGUGGGGAAUAUUGGGCAAUGGGCUCACGCCUGACCCAGCAACGCCGCGUGAAGGAAGAAGGCUUUCGGGUUGUACACUUCUUUUGUCAGGGAAGAGUAGAAGACGGUACCUGACGAUUCAGCCACGGCUUACUACGUGCCAGCAGACGCGGUAAUACGUAGGUGGCAAGCGUUGUCCGGAUGUACUGGGUGUAAAGGGCAUGUAGCCGGGUUGAAAAGUCAGAUGUGAAAUCCUGCGGCUUAACCGCCGAACUGCAUUUGAAACUGGUGAUCUUGAGUACUGGAGAGGCAGACGGAAUUCGUGGUGUAGCGGUGAAAUGCGUAGAUAUUAGGAGGAACACCAGUGGCGAAGGCGGUCUGCUGGACAGCAACUGACGGUGAGGCGCGAAAGCGUGGGGAGCAAACAGGAUUAGAUACCCGAGUAGUC